UACGUAGGUGGCAAGCGUUGUCCGGAAUUACUGGGUGUAAAGGGAGCGUAGGCGGGAAGGCAAGUUGAUUGUUUAAACUAUGGGCUCAACCCAUAGUCGCGAUCAAAACUGUUUUUCUUGAGUGAAGUAGAGGUAAGCGGAAUUCCUAGUGUAGCGGUGAAAUGCGUAAAUAUUAGGAGGAACACCAGUGGCGAAGGCGGCUUACUGGGCUUUAACUGACGCUGAGGCUCGAAAGCGUGGGUAGCAAACAGG
Molecule: ribosomal RNA, 252 nt
Filed under: uncultured bacterium
Lineage: Bacteria
Description: partial 16S ribosomal RNA
Rfam family: Bacterial small subunit ribosomal RNA
Source: RNAcentral